This is a non-coding RNA of Ixodes scapularis (black-legged tick), 73 nucleotides long. The record is from Rfam. Lineage: Eukaryota; Metazoa; Arthropoda; Arachnida; Ixodida; Ixodidae.
CCCUGCUUAGUACAGUUGGUAGAGCGCUUUACUGAAAAUGGAGAGGUUCCGGGUUCGAUACCCGGACCAGGCG